RNAcentral lists this unclassified non-coding RNA (326 nucleotides) under Hevea brasiliensis (rubber tree). Lineage: Eukaryota; Viridiplantae; Streptophyta; Magnoliopsida; Malpighiales; Euphorbiaceae. The record is from RNAcentral.
AAGAAUAGCAUCACAUCAAGAGAAAUUAAACAAACAAAUCGCAUCCAAAUGAAGAAUGAGCAAUCCAAAUUCGAAACAAAGCAUCAACAAUCAUACUCGAGAUGCAAACAAAAAAAUAUCCCGCAAAUAAACUAAAUCACCAUCGCAUUUUCACAAAUAGACAAUUACAAUCUCAGAAAUCAGAGGUUUUAAAUUGAAGCAGAAAUUACAAAAUCGAAUCACACACAAGAACAAGAAAUCAAGUUAAAGAAAGAAAACAAAAGUACUGAACUUAGAUUUAGUAUUGGAAGUCUGAUUAAAAUAUACCUAGAAAGCUUGAGCGAAGG